This 1290-nucleotide ribosomal RNA is filed under the name Mycobacterium intracellulare. RNAcentral's name for it is "bacterial SSU rRNA". It matches the Rfam family "Bacterial small subunit ribosomal RNA", at positions 80 to 1370 of the family's 1533-position model. The record is from RNAcentral. Lineage: Bacteria; Bacillati; Actinomycetota; Actinomycetes; Mycobacteriales; Mycobacteriaceae.
UUCGGGGGUACUCGAGUGGCGAACGGGUGAGUAACACGUGGGCAAUCUGCCCUGCACUUCGGGAUAAGCCUGGGAAACUGGGUCUAAUACCGGAUAGGACCUUUAGACGCAUGUCUUUUGGUGGAAAGCUUUUGCGGUGUGGGAUGGGCCCGCGGCCUAUCAGCUUGUUGGUGGGGUGACGGCCUACCAAGGCGACGACGGGUAGCCGGCCUGAGAGGGUGUCCGGCCACACUGGGACUGAGAUACGGCCCAGNCUCCUACGGGAGGCAGCAGUGGGGAAUAUUGCACAAUGGGCGCAAGCCUGAUGCAGCGACGCCGCGUGGGGGAUGACGGCCUUCGGGUUGUAAACCUCUUUCACCAUCGACGAAGGUUCGGGUUUUCUCGGAUUGACGGUGAGUGGAGAAGAAGCACCGGCCAACUACGUGCCAGCAGCCGCGGUAAUACGUAGGGUGCGAGCGUUGUCCGGAAUUACUGGGCGUAAAGAGCUCGUAGGUGGUUUGUCGCGUUGUUCGUGAAAUCUCACGGCUUAACUGUGAGCGUGCGGGCGAUACGGGCAGACUAGAGUACUGCAGGGGAGACUGGAAUUCCUGGUGUAGCGGUGGAAUGCGCAGAUAUCAGGAGGAACACCGGUGGCGAAGGCGGGUCUCUGGGCAGUAACUGACGCUGAGGAGCGAAAGCGUGGGGAGCGAACAGGAUUAGAUACCCUGGUAGUCCACGCCGUAAACGGUGGGUACUAGGUGUGGGUUUCCUUCCUUGGGAUCCGUGCCGUAGCUAACGCAUUAAGUACCCCGCCUGGGGAGUACGGCCGCAAGGCUAAAACUCAAAGGAAUUGACGGGGGCCCGCACAAGCGGCGAAGCAUGUGGAUUAAUUCGAUGCAACGCGAAGAACCUUACCUGGGUUUGACAUGCACAGGACGCGUCUAGAGAUAGGCGUUCCCUUGUGGCCUGUGUGCAGGUGGUGCAUGGCUGUCGUCAGCUCGUGUCGUGAGAUGUUGGGUUAAGUCCCGCAACGAGCGCAACCCUUGUCUCAUGUUGCCAGCGGGUAAUGCCGGGGACUCGUGAGAGACUGCCGGGGUCAACUCGGAGGAAGGUGGGGAUGACGUCAAGUCAUCAUGCCCCUUAUGUCCAGGGCUUCACACAUGCUACAAUGGCCGGUACAAAGGGCUGCGAUGCCGCAAGGUUAAGCGAAUCCUUUUAAAGCCGGUCUCAGUUCGGAUUGGGGUCUGCAACUCGACCCCAUGAAGUCGGAGUCGCUAGUAAUCGCAGAUCAGCAACGCUGCGGUGAAUACG